CGAGUGAAGCGGCAAUAGCUCAAAUUUGAAAUCUGGCUCUGCUCUAGGGUCCGAGUUGUAAUUUGUAGAGGGUGCUUUGGCACUGAUGGCGGUCUAAGUUCCUUGGAACAGGACAUCACAGAGGGUGAGAAUCCCGUACGUGGUCGCUAAUCUUUGCCGUGUAAAGCCCCUUCAACGAGUCGAGUUGUUUGGGAAUGCAGCUCUAAAUGGGAGGUAAAUUUCUUCUAAAGCUAAAUAUUGGCCAGAGACCGAUAGCGCACAAGUAGAGUGAUCGAAAGAUGAAAAGCACUUUGGAAAGAGAGUCAAAAAGCACGUGAAAUUGUUGAAAGGGAAGCGCUUGCCGCCAGACUUGUCUGCAGUUGCUCACCUAGGCGUUCAGCCUGGGGCACUCUUCUGUAGGCAGGCCAGCAUCAGUUUGGGCAGCCGGAUAAAGGUCUCUGACACGUUCCUUCUACCUUUGUGUAGAUGGCCAUAUAGGGGAGACGUCAUGCGGUUAGCCUGGACUGAGGUCCGCGCAUUGCUAGGAUGCUGGCGUAAUGGCUGCAAGCGGCCCGUCUUGAAACACGGACCAAGGAGUCUAACAUCUAUGCGAGUGUUUGGGUGUCAAGCCCGAGCGCGCAAUAAACGUGAACGGAGGUGGGAACUCUCUCUUGGGGGUGCACCAUCGACCGAUCCUGAUGUCUUCGGAUGGAUUUGAGUAAGAGCAUAGCUGUUGGGACCCGAAAGAUGGUGAACUAUGCUUGAAUAGGGUGAAGCCAGAGGAAACUCUGGUGGAGGCUCGCAGCGGUUCUGACGUGCAAAUCGAUCGUCAAAUUUGGGCAUAGGGCGAAAGACUAAUCGAACUAUCUAGUAGCUGGUUCCUGCCGAGU
This 869-nucleotide ribosomal RNA is filed under the name Neohelicascus aquaticus. RNAcentral describes it as "eukaryotic LSU rRNA". It matches the Rfam family "Eukaryotic large subunit ribosomal RNA", at positions 90 to 966 of the family's 3401-position model. The record is from RNAcentral. Lineage: Eukaryota; Fungi; Ascomycota; Dothideomycetes; Pleosporales; Morosphaeriaceae.